AAACGAUUGAAGUCAGUCGUACCCGACGGGCAUUCAGCUUCUCGGGUGUGAUUAUGGUGGACGUGGGGAGAUCCCAUGCUGUCAUAUUCGUGCCUUUGGGGUGUAUUUUCCGUAUGGUAGGUCAACAUCAAUUCUGGUCGUCAUAAAAUGACGGGAGGAAUGUGGCUUCAUUUUUUGAAGUGUUAUAGCCUCUGGUAGAUGUGAUUAUCGGGAUUGAGGAUUGCAACGAAUACUCUUUGGGCUACUCGUCUGAUCUCUGAUUGUCGCUUUGGUGCCGAAAGCGUGCUUAUGGUAUUAAAGUAGGUGGUUAAAAGGUUAGAACGGGUUAAAUUCGUUAAGGAUGUUGACGUA
This 351-nucleotide ribosomal RNA is filed under the name Glomerales sp. Its description in RNAcentral is "LSU rRNA". Lineage: Eukaryota; Fungi; Glomeromycota; Glomeromycetes; Glomerales; Glomeraceae. The record is from RNAcentral.